This is a long non-coding RNA of Vigna radiata var. radiata (mung bean), 1918 nucleotides long. RefSeq lists it as uncharacterized. The record is from RefSeq and is a predicted model, not a curated record. Lineage: Eukaryota; Viridiplantae; Streptophyta; Magnoliopsida; Fabales; Fabaceae. The transcript is spliced from 3 exons.
AAUCAAUCAUCAGUUAAUCUCUUUCUUGCAGAGGCCGUGCAGUUCUUCUCUUCUUGGUCCUCGUCCUCCGUCAAGAGAGGCCUCCAUGUCCUCUCUCAAGAACAUUGCCGCACUGAAUCCUCUUCUGGUUCUUGAUUGCUGUGCCGUCGUGUCGCACGUCGGGAGUGAGUAGCUAGAUGCAGUAAUGAUAGUAAUGGACACAACUCAGUGACAGUCACUUUUAUUUUAUGUUGUUGGCUUAGUAGGGGUAAGUUAAUUUGCGUCUGGUUUUUUGGAGACUCGGUCUUACUUGGCACCAACUCAAACUAACUAUAGAAUAGAGGGAGCCUGUAUAUGGAGAUGUCAGCUUUGGGACUUUUGCCGUUUUGAAUUGAUGCAGGAUAUGGAUGUUAUCUGUGAUGCUGCAAUGGCCAUGGUCAAUUUAAGAUCUAGACAAGAGAAUCGAGGAUUAGAAGGUUUGAUAAUUGGUUUUACCUUCACAUUCGAUUGAUUUGUUUUACUGUCCUUUGCAGUAGGAAAAUUAAGGAAGCUUAAGCUGACUAUGACUAUGUUAAUUUUAAUUUGAAAGACGAUUUCCCAAAAAAAAUAGCUUGUCUGAUUUUUGGGGGAUUGGAUGUUAAGCUGGUCGACAUAAUAAUUUUUGAGAGAUAAGCACCAUUCCUGGGUCUUUAUCUAAUAGAUGGUUGAAUAAAUAGUGAUUCAAGGUUUGAAAUGUAGGUAUCCCUCCCCUUUCAUUUUCAACAUGGACAAAUAAUUUUUUGGAAAUUGAAUGCUUUCAAAUUUGCCAUGAGAGAAGAUUUGGAUGAAGGUUGUCAAAAUUGAAAUUCACUUUACUAGAGGAAGAGAAAAAAAUGCAGCUUACAUGCUGGACCUGUUGAUAGAAGGUUUUUACCUUCACAAUUUGGGUAACACCAAUUAUCAAACCUUCUAACCCUCAUAAAGAUACCAAGAAGGCAGCUUUGUUCCAUUAACUUGACACAGAUUAAUAAUCCUUGAAGAUUGUGGCAUAUGUCUCCCAAUUACAAACACUCUAUAUCUGCAUACUUUUGCUAGAAAUCAAUUUAUCUGACUUGAACGUAAUAUGAAUGUUAUCUGUGAUGCUGCAUUGGCCAUGGUCAAUUUAAGAUCUAGUCAAGAGAGAGGAUUAGAAGGUUUGAUAAUUGGUGUUACCUUCACGUUCGAUUGAUUUGUUUUACUGUCCUCUGCAGUAGGGAAAUUAAGGAAGCUUAAGGUGACCAUGACUAUGUUGAUUUUAAUUUGAAAGAUGAUUUCCUAAAAAAAAUAGCUUGUCUGAUUUUUGGGGGAUUGGAUGUUAAACUGGUUGACAUAAUAUUUUUUGAGAGAUAAGCACCAUUCCUGGGUCUUCAUUAGAUGGUUGAAUAAAUAGUGAUUCUAAGGUUUGAAAUGUAGCUAUCCCUCCCCCCUUUCAUUUUCAACAUGGACAAAUUAUUUGUUGGAAAUUGAAUGGUUUCAAAUUUCCCAUGAGAGAAGAUUUGGAUGAAGCUUGUCAAAAUUGAAAUUCACUUUUCUAGAGGACAAGAAAAAAAUGGCAGCUUACAUGUUGGACCUGUUGAUGGAAGGUUCUUACCUUCACAAUUUGGGUAACACCAAUUAUAAAAUAUUCUAACCCUCAUAAAGAUACAAGAAGGCAGCUUUCUUCCAUGAAGACGACACAGAUUAAUAAUCUUUGAAGAUUGUGGCAUAUGUCUCCCAAUUGCAAACACUCUAUAUGUGCAUACUUUUGCUAGAAAUCUCCAAGGUGUACAUUUGAAAGCUGCAAAUCGAUAGAGUUAUGAGCAAAGUGAAUGUCUGUUAAAAACAAAUUCACUGUUAAUAUGAUUUAAGCAGGAAAAGAUGCUACCUGUUAGAAAAAUCUUAAGAUUAAAACAUGUCCACCUUUUAAUUCUGUUUUAUUUUA